AACAAACGCUGGCGGCGUGCCUAAUACAUGCAAGUCGAUCGAGGUAGCAAUACCUAGAGGCGCACGGGUGGGUAACACGUAGGUAAUCUGCCCUCGAGUGGGGAAUAACUAAUCGAAAGAUUAGCUAAUACCGCAUAAGACCACGAGAUCUGAGGAUCACGAGGUCAAAGGAGCAAUUCGCUUGAGGAUGAGCCUGCGUCGGAUUAGCUAGUUGGUGAGGUAACGGCUCACCAAGGCAAUGAUCCGUAGCUGGUCUGAGAGGAUGAUCAGCCACACUGGAACUGAGACACGGUCCAGACUCCUACGGAGGCAGCAGUGGGGAAUCUUGCGCAAUGGGCGAAAGCCUGACGCAGCGACGCCGCGUGGGUGAUGAAGGCC
RNAcentral lists this ribosomal RNA (378 nucleotides) under uncultured bacterium. RNAcentral describes it as "bacterial SSU rRNA". It matches the Rfam family "Bacterial small subunit ribosomal RNA", at positions 29 to 416 of the family's 1533-position model. The record is from RNAcentral.